GCUCUUGCCCUGUCAGUGAGAUACCCUGGAUUGGAAGUGCCUCGUCAGAGCUCUGGUCACAGAUCACCAGCCAGAACUCGCCCCACUUGGUCCCCCUCAGGGGUGUACCACCCACUCAGCCACUUGUGGCCUGUCCUGGUCUGGAGUCAGAGGAAAGCAGAAUGGUCCUGUCCUGGACGUCUGAGGGGAGAGACAGCAAGCUGUCCUGGACAGGGAGGCAAGGGGAAACUGAAAAUAUGCUCCCUCCCCCGUAUAGCUCAGCUGCCUCUGGAAAACUAGGCCUUCGGUGCUGAGACAUCUCCCCACGUUUCCGUUCUCUGGGUGCCUGUUGGGUCCCGCCCAGUCUGCUCUGGCGCCGGCUGUGGAAUCUGAUCUGGCCGAGAAGCAAAGGCUGUUUGUUCUCCAUGGUCACCCUCUUGGCCACCCUGAAACCAGCUCUGGAUCACUUUCCAGGGCAUCGUGGGUGACUAGGGGCCCCCAGAUGAGCCGUCCUGGCCCCAGAUCUGACUGGACUUGCUGGUAUUGCUAGGCCAAUGACUCAGCAAAAUCCCAACCCUCUGAGCCCCCUGGGGCCCUGAGGACAGCAUUGGGAAGUGCGCAAGGGUCACCUUGGAGCCCACUCACUCACCCCCGUCUUGGGCCACAUCAACCCUGACUCCUGUGGCUGAGUUUAUACCACCUUGGGCUACAGAGGAGGGGGCCAAAGCUUUAUCCCUCCUGCCUUUGGCUUGCUCCCACCUGAAACAGGUGUCAUAGGGCGAGAUGAGGUCCCACCUCCCCUGCUCACUCGCUGGUGAUGCUGAGCUGUGGCUUAGCCUCUCCAUACCUCAGUUUCUUCAUCUUUAUAAUGGGAAUCUCAAUGGGCCUUACCUCAGUGCAGCUCUGAGGGAGAACACACUCGUCCCUCCAUGGCUCUACUGACUUGCAGAAACACUUCCUGGCUCCAAAAUGUCUGCCCAGCUGAAUGGUUUCUGGAGUGCAAAGUCCAAGCAGGUGCAGGAGGGAUGCAACCCCAGCGGCCUCUGCUAGUGCAAAACCCAUGCUUCCUGUAUUCAAAUGUUGCUGAGCCCAGCUGUGGCCCCUACUGCUCUCUCCACCCCAUCAGAGCACCCACCCGGGCCAAAUUCAAACAUCCCUUUGCCACCCGCCUUCAAGCCCCCUAAAGCUACAGGGUUCUACCUCAUCAGUCAUACUACUGGCUCUUGAACUUGAUAGAAGUGUAAUGCCCUCCUGAGUUCUCUUCUGAGUCUGGCUAAUUCUGUUCAAUAUUCCAUCUCUGACAUUUAUCUAGGGUGUCGCCUGUAUGAGUCAUUCCUUUUUUUUCAUUGCUGAGUCCAUUGCAUGGCGGUACCAGUCUGUUCCCCUGCUCCCCUCCUGAUAAACGUCUGGAUUGUCUUCCAUCUGCGACCACUGAACAAAACAACCCUGGGUACUCUUGUACAUGUCUUUUGAGGAACACGCACCCGCUUCUGUUGUGUAAAUGCCCCGAGUGGCGAUCGUGGGUGGUAGGCAAGGCCUGUGUUCAGCUCUCAGAUUUGUAGCCAAGCAGACUUCCAACGCUGUUGGACCAGUUUACGCUCCCGCCCCCAGUGAAUGAGUUUCAGCGACUCUGUGUCUUCACCAACACUUGGCAUCGCAAUUGCCUUAAUUUUGCCAUUGGUCUCGCCAGAGUUUGAGUUCCUUAGCUGUUCUGCUGUCUUGGCGGCUUAGAGAUCCUAACUGAAAACAGCUGAUUUGUGUUGUAUGGAAAACACUCCUUUCUCAUCUUGCUCAGACACCUGCCCUUUUUAAUUGUCUUCGGGCAGAGCCUGAAGAGAAUUUACGAGACAUUAGGUAGCUUCUGAGAUGAUCCCCAAAGACCAUGGUGUCCUGGUGUUCAGACCCCUAUAAUCCCCUCCCUUGGGUAUGGGCUGGAUCUAGCAACUCACUUCUAACCAACCGAACACAGCAAGGGUGAUGGGUGUCGCUUCCAUGAUUAGGUUCUAAGCCAGUGGCUUCCAUCUGGUUGCAGACUCUCUUGCUGGUUUUGCUAAAGCAGACUGGCUUAUAAAAAGGCCCAUGUAUGAUGGGACUGAGGGCAGCCCCUUACCAACAGCCAGAAAGGAACCAAGCCCCUCAGUUCCGCAGCUUGUAGGGCAUGGAUGGACCCCUGCCAACAACCCCGAAGUGAGCUUGGAAGUAGAUCCCGCCCCUGUUGAACCCAGACUUCAGUCUGAAGGGGAGGUCUCAGCCAUGGUCUGAGCCAUGCCCAGAUUCCUGACCUCCAGAAACUGUCAGAUAAUAAAUGCGUGUCCUUCUUUUUUUUUUUUUUUUAAAGAUUUUAUUUAUUCAUUGGGCAGACAGAGAUCACAAGUAGGCAGAGAGAGAGGAGGAAGCAGGCUCCCCACUGAGCAGAGAGCCCGAUGUGGGGCUCGAUUCCAGGACCCCGGGAUCAUGACCCGAGCCAAAGGCAGAGGCUUUAACCCACUGAGCCACCCAGGCACCCCUAAAUGCGUGUCCUGAGCGGCUAACUUUGGAGGAUGAUUUACAGCAAGAGCUAACAGAUACAAACUCAAAGGAUACUGAAGUCGGAAAGAAAGAGUGCUGGAUUUUCAGAUAGUAUUUUUGUGAUUAUUGCUCCAUUUAUCCCAAUAAACUCAGUUUUGCAUCUUG
Long non-coding RNA from Lutra lutra (Eurasian river otter), 2652 nucleotides. RefSeq lists it as uncharacterized. NCBI's taxonomy places the organism in Eukaryota, Metazoa, Chordata, Mammalia, Carnivora, Mustelidae. The transcript has 2 exons. The record is from RefSeq and is a predicted model, not a curated record.